Long non-coding RNA from Poecilia latipinna (sailfin molly), 683 nucleotides. RefSeq lists it as uncharacterized. NCBI's taxonomy places the organism in Eukaryota, Metazoa, Chordata, Actinopteri, Cyprinodontiformes, Poeciliidae. The transcript has 2 exons. The record is from RefSeq and is a predicted model, not a curated record.
CACAACUAAUUCUUGUAAUAUCUCAACAGCUUUUGUACGAGGAGUGGGCAAACUACAGUGUCUUUUAUAAGUACCAGCCCAUUGGACUUGUUCGGAAAUAUUUUGGUGAGAAGAUUGGCCUUUACUUUGCCUGGUUGGGCCUGUAUACCCAGAUGCUUAUUCCUGCAUCACUAGUGGGGGUCAUUGUGUUUCUCUAUGGAUGUGCAACAGUUGAUGACAAUAUACCAAGGUAAGCUCUGACACACUCUAAAUGUGUUCAUGAAGAAUUACACAAUGAAGGGAUAUGUGUUAGAAGGUCACAUAUAGUAUAGUAUGGGAGACACUUUGAACAUGAAUGUGGUGGAAGGAAGGUGCUGCUGACGUCUUGAAAAAUAAUAUUCGGAAUGAUGAUUUCAAGUGUCAAGUUAGUGCUAGUUGUUCGGAAUUAAUCUUUAGCUUGUGUAAUUAUUAAUAAUUGUAAUUAAUAAUUCCUUAUUAAUGAAAUUAUUAAUAAAGUUAGAGUUUCUAUAGUUGAAAGCGAUGAUUAUCCAAACGGGCAAGUCUCAUGCCAGAAUGAAUUCACCUCUACCAGAUGAGCAGAUACGCCUCACACACAUCAAAAUGAUCACACACACUUCAUUCCAGUUGGUCUGAGAAUUUCUUAACAAAAUAGCUCAACAUUAUAGUAAAAAUCAACACACUGU